Molecule: unclassified non-coding RNA, 358 nt
Filed under: soil metagenome
Description: partial contains 5.8S ribosomal RNA, internal transcribed spacer 2, and large subunit ribosomal RNA
Rfam family: 5.8S ribosomal RNA (bases 1-120)
Source: RNAcentral
GAUGAAGAACGCAGCGAAAUGCGAUAAGUAAUGUGAAUUGCAGAAUUCAGUGAAUCAUCGAAUCUUUGAACGCACAUUGCGCCCGUCAGUAUUCUGGCGGGCAUGCCUGUUCGAGCGUCAUUACGCCCCUCAAGUCCCCUGUGGACUUGGUGUUGGGGAUCGGCGAGGCUGGUUUUCCAGCACAGCCGUCCCUUAAAUUAAUUGGCGGUCUCGCCGUGGCCCUCCUCUGCGCAGUAGUAAAACACUCGCAACAGGAGCCCGGCGCGGUCCACUGCCGUAAAAACCCCCAACUUUUUAUAGUUGACCUCGAAUCAGGUAGGACUACCCGCUGAACUUAAGCAUAUCAAUAAGCGGAGGA